This 2706-nucleotide ribosomal RNA is filed under the name Triticum aestivum (bread wheat). Its description in RNAcentral is "partial small subunit ribosomal RNA". Lineage: Eukaryota; Viridiplantae; Streptophyta; Magnoliopsida; Poales; Poaceae. The record is from RNAcentral.
AUGAUCCAUCUGAAGCAGCCGCUGGUGCUCUCCGCGCAGAGCAGCAAUGUUGCCUCACCGCCGCUCUUCGCCACGGCGGCGGCCGCGAGCGGCCAGCAGAGGCGGGCGUCCGGCGCCGGGAGGAGCCGCUCUGGGCGCCGGCUCACGGCGCGCAGGAUAAGCUGCGCGUCGACCGAGGAGGCCGUCGGCGUCUCGACGUCCGUGACGACCAAGGAGAGGUCGCUGACGGUGACGGCCGUCGUGACCGCGCAGGCGCCGACCUCCGUGUACGUCGCCCGCGGCCUCGACGACAUCCAGGACCUCUUCGGCAAGACACUGCUGCUCGAGCUCGUCAGCUCCGAGCUUGACCCCAAGACGGGAAGGGAGAGGGAGAAAGUUAAGGGGUUCGCGCACAUGACGCUCAAGGAGGGGACGUACGAGGCCAAGAUGUCGGUGCCGGCGUCGUUCGGGCCGGUGGGCGCGGUGCUGGUGGAGAACGAGCACCACAGGGAGAUGUUCAUCAAGGACGUCAAGCUCAUCACCGGCGGCGACGAGAGCACCGCCAUCACCUUCGACGUCGCCUCCUGGGUGCACUCCAAGUUCGACGACCCCGAGCCGCGCGUCUUCUUCACCGUCAAGUCAUACCUGCCGUCGCAGACGCCGCCGGGAAUCGAGGCGCUGAGGAAGAAGGAGCUGGAGAAGCUGCGUGGCGACGGGCACAGCGAGCGCAAGUUCCACGAGCGCGUCUACGACUACGACACGUACAACGACCUCGGCGACCCUGACAAGAACAUCGACCACAAACGCCCGGUGCUGGGCACCAAGGAGCACCCCUACCCUCGCCGGUGCCGCACCGGCCGGCCCAAGACCCUCUACGAUCCGGAGACGGAGAGGAGGAGCUCGCCGGUGUACGUGCCGCGCGACGAGCAGUUCUCGGACGUCAAGGGGCGGACGUUCAGCGCGACGACGCUGCGGUCGGGGCUGCACGCCAUCCUGCCGGCGCUGGCGCCGCUGCUCAACAACUCGCAGUGCUUCUCGCACUUCCCGGCCAUCGACGCCCUCUACAGCGACGGCAUCCCGCUCCCCGUCGACGGGCACGGCGGCGCCUCCUUCAACGUCAUCAACGACGUCAUUCCCCGUGUCGUCCAGAUGAUCGAGGACACCACCGAGCACGUCCUCCGCUUCGAGGUCCCCGAGAUGCUUGAGAGGGACCGAUUUUCGUGGUUCAGAGACGAGGAGUUCGCGAGGCAGACGCUCGCCGGGCUCAACCCUAUCUGCAUCCGCCGCCUCACGGAAUUCCCCAUCGUGAGCAAGCUGGACCCGGCGGUGUACGGGCCGGCGGAGUCGGCGCUGACCAAGGAGGUCCUGGAGAAGAUGAUGAACGGGCGCAUGACGGUGGAGGAGGCGGUGGAGAAGAAGCGGCUGUUCCUGCUGGACUACCACGACGUGUUCCUGCCGUACGUGCACAGGGUGCGCGAGCUGCCGGACACGACGCUGUACGGGUCCCGCACCGUCUUCUUCCUGAGCGAGGAGGGCACGCUGAUGCCGCUGGCCAUCGAGCUGACGCGGCCGCAGUCGCCGACCAGGCCGCAGUGGAGGCGCGCCUUCACGCACGGCCCCGACGCCACCGAGUCGUGGCUGUGGAAGCUGGCCAAGGCGCACGUGCUGACCCACGACACCGGCUACCACCAGCUGGUCAGCCACUGGCUGCGCACGCACGCCUGCGUCGAGCCCUACAUCAUCGCCACCAACCGGCAGCUCAGCCGGAUGCACCCGGUGCACCGCCUGCUGCACCCGCACUUCCGCUACACCAUGGAGAUCAACGCGCUGGCCAGGGAGGCGCUCAUCAACGCCGACGGCAUCAUCGAGGAGGCCUUCUGGCCGGGGAGGUACUCCAUCGAGCUCAGCUCCGUCGCCUACGGCGCCGCCUGGCAGUUCGACACGGAGGCGCUGCCGGAGGACCUGGUAAGCCGGGGGCUCGCCGUGCGCAGGGACGACGGCGAGCUCGAGCUCGCCAUCAAGGACUACCCGUACGCCGACGACGGGCUCCUCAUCUGGGGCUCCAUCAAGCAGUGGGCGUCCGACUACGUGGACUUCUACUACAAGUCGGACGGCGACGUCGCCGGCGACGAGGAGCUGCGGGCGUGGUGGGAGGAGGUGCGCACCAAGGGGCACGCGGACAAGAAGGACGAGCCGUGGUGGCCCGUGUGCGACUCCAAGGAGAACCUCGUCCAGAUCCUGACCAUCAUCAUGUGGGUCACGUCCGGCCACCACGCCGCCGUCAACUUCGGGCAGUACCAUUACGCCGGGUACUUCCCCAACCGUCCGACGGUGGUGCGGAAGAACAUCCCGGUGGAAGAAAACCGGGACGAUGAGAUGAAGAAGUUCAUGGCAAGGCCAGAGGAGGUGCUGCUGCAGAGCCUCCCCUCGCAGAUGCAGGCCAUCAAGGUGAUGGCGACGCUGGACAUCCUCUCCUCACACUCCCCCGACGAGGAGUACAUGGGAGAGUACGCGGAGCCGGCGUGGCUGGCAGAGCCCAUGGUGAAGGCGGCAUUCGAGAAGUUCAGUGGCAGACUGAAGGAGGUGGAGGGCACCAUCGACCAGCGAAACAACAACCCGGAGAACAAGAACAGGUGUGGCGCCGGCAUCGUGCCGUACGAGCUGCUCAAGCCGUUCUCAGAACCAGGGGUCACUGGGAGGGGCAUCCCCAACAGCAUCUCCAUCUGA